Molecule: ribosomal RNA, 427 nt
Filed under: uncultured bacterium
Lineage: Bacteria
Description: partial 16S ribosomal RNA
Rfam family: Bacterial small subunit ribosomal RNA
Source: RNAcentral
UGGGGAAUAUUGGACAAUGGGCGAAAGCCUGAUCCAGCCAUGCCGCGUGUGUGAAGAAGGUCUUAGGAUUGUAAAGCACUUUAAGUUGGGAGGAAGGGCAGUUACCUAAUACGUAAUUGUUUUGACGUUACCGACAGAAUAAGCACCGGCUAACUCUGUGCCAGCAGCCGCGGUCAUACAGAGGGUGCAAGCGUUAAUCGGAAUUACUGGGCGUAAAGCGCGCGUAGGUGGUUUGUUAAGUUGGAUGUGAAAUCCCCGGGCUCAACCUGGGAACUGCAUUCAAAACUGACUGACUAGAGUAUGGUAGAGGGUGGUGGAAUUUCCUGUGUAGCGGUGAAAUGCGUAGAUAUAGGAAGGAACACCAGUGGCGAAGGCGACCACCUGGACUAAUACUGACACUGAGGUGCGAAAGCGUGGGGAGCAAACA